AUUUAUAUAGUUUAAAAAAAACGUUAUAUUUUCACUAUAAAAAUAGAUUCAAUCUUAUAAAUU
This 63-nucleotide transfer RNA is filed under the name Helota yehi. RNAcentral's name for it is "tRNA-Glu". Lineage: Eukaryota; Metazoa; Arthropoda; Insecta; Coleoptera; Helotidae. The record is from RNAcentral.